Molecule: unclassified non-coding RNA, 358 nt
Filed under: soil metagenome
Description: partial contains 5.8S ribosomal RNA, internal transcribed spacer 2, and large subunit ribosomal RNA
Rfam family: 5.8S ribosomal RNA (bases 1-120)
Source: RNAcentral
GAUGAAGAACGUAGCGAAAUGCGAUAAGUAAUGUGAAUUGCAGAAUUCAGUGAAUCAUCGAAUCUUUGAACGCACAUUGCGCCCGCCAGUAUUCUGGCGGGCAUGCCUGUCCGAGCGUCAUUUCAACCCUCGAACCCCUCCGGGGGGUCGGCGUUGGGGACCUCGGGAGCCCCUAAGACGGGAUCCCGGCCCCGAAAUACAGUGGCGGUCUCGCCGCAGCCUCUCCUGCGCAGUAGUUUGCAAAACUCGCACCGGGAGCGCGGCGCGUCCACGUCCGUAAAACACCCAACUUCUGAAAUGUUGACCUCGGAUCAGGUAGGAAUACCCGCUGAACUUAAGCAUAUCAAUAAGCGGAGGA